Molecule: ribosomal RNA, 436 nt
Filed under: uncultured Oscillibacter sp.
Lineage: Bacteria; Bacillati; Bacillota; Clostridia; Eubacteriales; Oscillospiraceae
Description: partial 16S ribosomal RNA
Rfam family: Bacterial small subunit ribosomal RNA
Source: RNAcentral
ACGGAAGGCAGCAGUGGGGAAUAUUGGGCAAUGGGCGCAAGCCUGACCCAGCAACGCCGCGUGAAGGAAGAAGGCUUUCGGGUUGUAAACUUCUUUGACGGGGGAAGAGCAGAAGACGGUACCCCGAAAACAAGCCACGGCUAACUACGUGCCAGCAGCCGCGGUAAUACGUAGGUGGCGAGCGUUGUCCGGAUUUACUGGGUGUAAAGGGCGUGUAGCCGGGUUGGCAAGUCAGGUGUGAAAUGCACAGGCUUAACCUGUGAACUGCAUUUGAAACUGUUGAUCUUGAGUAUCGGAGAGGCAAUCGGAAUUCCUAGUGUAGCGGUGAAAUGCGUAGAUAUUAGGAGGAACACCAGUGGCGAAGGCGGAUUGCUGGACGACAACUGACGGUGAGGCGCGAAAGUGUGGGGAGCGAACAGGAUUAGAUACCCUGGUA